AAGUCGUAACAAGGUUUCCGUAGGUGAACCUGCGGAAGGAUCAUUAACACGUAUCCAACGUUAAACAACCCUGUGAACUUUAAGUCCCCUCUUGCAGCCCCGGUAAAUCAUUGCCAAACAGUUUUGAUUCGGGACCUCUGUCCAAAAGGAGUUGCAAUCGAAGGGUGGAAGCAGUGGCAUGGCUUCCCCAAGCAGUUAGUGAAUGACAGUGUCACUGACUGUGUAAGGAUAACGCCUCACGGUUGCUAGAGGUCGAUCACCGACCGGCAGACAUGUCACAGGGUCACCACGCCCCUUAAUCACUCCACUUGAAAAUGCCCCGCCUAGUGGUAACGCGCUAGGUAAAAAAAACCGAACAACUGUUAACAAUGGAUAUCUUGGUUCUC
RNAcentral lists this unclassified non-coding RNA (386 nucleotides) under fungal sp. RNAcentral's name for it is "partial internal transcribed spacer region". The stretch from base 1 to 46 matches the Rfam family "Eukaryotic small subunit ribosomal RNA", at positions 1786 to 1831 of the family's 1831-position model. Lineage: Eukaryota; Fungi. The record is from RNAcentral.